UAGAAACACCUAGAAAUGGUUAGGAUGGUAAAUUUUACAUUAUGUAUUUUUUACCACAAUACAAAAAUUUGCUUUAAAAGUAUUAUUACAUAAAUAAUACCUGAUAAUUAUGGAAACAUCAGUAAAUACAGACAAGCAAAAAGGAAAAUAAAAUCACUGACAAUCCUAACUGCUGAGUUUUCUUAUUGCAUAAAUACAUAAAUGCACAAAUUAUGUGUAGGUUCAUAUUUGGAUUUGCUGCUUAAUAACCUGACUUUUUCAAAGUUUACACUAUUUUUAACCAUGUUUUAAGUUCUAUAUUCUUAAUUGAAAAUGAGAAGUAGGAUGUUUCACAUUUCUGUAAACUCUAAGGCCUCAAGACAGAAGUGCAGUGGCACGUUUUAGGGGUACAUGCCCCUCCAUUGAUGCUUCUCUGUUUAGGUCAUGUGUCCUCAGGAGAAAGAAAGGCUCCCCCACUCCUGAUUUGUCAGCCAGCUGUACUGACAUCUUUCAGUGGUUCCUUUUAAGUAUGAACCCAUCUACAGAGGCUUCUGGUACUUUGGGAACUGGUGUGUCUACCUGUCCCUGGGGCUCUUCAGUCACAUGUCUAUCCAGUGGGGUAAUGUAAAUAUGUGUCUCAGCAAGGUUAACGAUUAAAUUGUUGGGAUGAAAGGUCGAAGGCCUGCCUUUGGAACAUCAGAACAUCAGAAUGGGAGAUAUAUGUUUCUACUUGCCUUCCACCUUCUCUGAGGAAAAGAGUAAAUAAGAAACACAGUCAUACAAGAGUCUUCAUUCCAGAAGUGAUCUAGGAAUCAUGCUGGAGAAGUUCUGCAACUCUACUUUUUGGAAUUCCUCAUUCCUGGAUAGCCCGGAGGUGGACCUGCCACUUUGUUUUGAGCAAACUGUUCUGGUGUGGAUUCCCUUGGGCUUCCUUUGGCUCCUGGCCCCUUGGCAGUUUCUCUAUGUGUAUAGAUCCAGGACCAAGAAAUCUUCUAUAACCAAACUCUACCUUACUAAGCAGGUGCUUGUUGGGUUUCUUCUUAUUCUGGCAGUCAUAGAUCUGGCCCUUGCACUCACAGAAGACACUGGACAAGCCACAGUCCCUGCCGUUAGAUAUACCAGUCCAAGCCUCUACCUGGGCACAUGGAUCCUGGUUUUGCUGAUCCAACACAGCAGGCGAUGGUGUGUACAGAAGGACUCUUGGUUCCUGUCCGUGUUCUGGAUUCUCUCAAUACUCUGUGGCACUUUCCAGUUUCAGACUCUGAUCCGGACACUCUUAAGGGGCAGCAACCCUAACCUGGCCUAUUCCUGCGUGUUCCUCAUCUGCUAUGCACUCCAGAUCCUGGUCCUGAUCCUUUCAGCAUUUUCAGAAAAAAAUGACUCAUCAAAACAUCCUUCAACCACAGCUUCAUUUCUGAGUAGCAUCACCUUUAGUUGGUAUGACAGCAUUGUUCUGAAAGGCUUCAAGAAACCUCUGACGCUUGAAGAUAUCUGGGAUAUUGAUGAAGAGACUAAAACAAAGACACUAGUCAGCAGGUUUGAAAAGUACAUGGCAGGAGAGCUGCAGAAGGCCCGGCAGGCAUUCCAGAAACGGCAGCAGAAGAACUCCCAGUGGAACCCUGGAGCCAGGCUGCAUGGUUUGGACAAGAAGCAGAGUCAAAGCCAAGAUGUCCUUGUCCUGGAAGAAACUAAAAAGAAUAAAAAGAAGUCUGAGACCACUAAAGACUUCCCCAAGUCCUGGCUGGUGAAAGCCCUCUUCAGAACUUUCUACGUCAUCCUCCUGAAGUCAUUCCUGCUGAAGCUGGUGUAUGACAUCCUCAUGUUCCUGAAUCCUCAGCUGCUGAAAUUGCUGAUCUCCUUUGCAAAUGACCAUGACAUAUAUCUGUGGACUGGGUAUCUCUACUCAAUCCUCUUCUUCGUCGUGGCCCUCAUCCAGUCUGUCUGCCUUCAGUAUUACUUUAAACUGUGCUUUAUGCUGGGCAUGAAAGUACGGACCACCAUCAUGGCUUCUGUAUAUAAGAAGGCGCUGACUCUAUCCAACCAGGCCAGGAAGCAGUACACCAUUGGAGAAACAGUGAACCUGAUGUCUGUGGAUGCCCAGAAGCUCAUGGACGUGACCAACUUCAUCCACCUGCUGUGGUCAAAUGUUCUACAGAUUUCCUUGUCCAUCUACUUCCUGUGGGCAGAGUUGGGACCCUCAGUCUUAGCAGGUGUUGGGGUGAUGGUGCUCCUAAUCCCAAUUAAUGGGGUAAUUGCCACCAAGAAUAGGGCUAUUCAGGUUAAAAAUAUGAAGUAUAAAGACAACCGUUUAAAGAUCAUGAAUGAGGUUCUCAGUGGGAUCAAGAUCCUGAAAUAUUUUGCCUGGGAACCUUCAUUCCAAAACCAAGUCCACGACCUUCGUAAGAAAGAGCUCAGGAACCUGCUGACGUUUGGGCAGUUGCAGUCUGUGAUGAUAUUUCUCUUAUACUUAACUCCGGUGCUGGUGUCUGUGAUCACGUUUUCCGUUUACGUCCUGGUGGAUAGCAGUAAUAUUCUGGAUGCAGAAAAGGCCUUCACCUCCAUCACCCUCUUCAAUAUCCUGCGCUUUCCCAUGAGCAUGCUUCCCAUGAUAGUCUCCACCAUGCUCCAGGCCAGUGUUUCCGUAGAACGGCUAGAGAAAUAUUUGGGAGGGGAUGACUUGGACACAUCUGCCAUUCGACAUGACUGCAAUUUUGACAAAGCUGUGCAGUUUUCUGAGGCAUCCUUUACCUGGGACCACAAUUCGGAAGUCACAAUCCAAGACGUGAACCUAGACAUUAUGCCAGGCCAACUGGUGGCUGUGGUGGGCACUGUGGGCUCUGGGAAAUCCUCCUUGAUGUCAGCCAUGCUGGGAGAAAUGGAAAAUGUCCACGGGCACAUCACGGUCAAGGGCACUGUAGCCUAUGUCCCGCAGCAGUCCUGGAUCCAGAACGGCACCAUAAAGGACAACAUCCUUUUUGGGUCAGAGUUGGAUGAAAAGAAAUACCAGCAAGUUCUGGAGGCCUGUGCCCUCUUCCCCGACUUGGAAGUGCUGCCUGGGGGAGAUCUGGCUGAGAUUGGAGAGAAGGGUAUAAAUCUCAGUGGGGGUCAGAAGCAGCGGAUCAGCCUGGCCAGAGCUACCUAUCAAAAUUCAGACAUCUAUAUUCUGGAUGACCCCCUAUCUGCUGUGGAUGCUCAUGUGGGAAAACAUAUUUUUAAUAAGGUCUUGGGUCCCAAUGGCCUGUUGAAAGGCAAGACUCGACUCUUGGUGACACACAGCAUUCACUUUCUUCCCCAAGUGGAUGAGAUUGUGGUUUUGGGGAAUGGCAUCAUCGUGGAGAAGGGAUCCUACAGCACUCUGUUGGCCAAGAAAGGAUUGUUUGCUAAGAAUCUGAAGACAUUCAUAAAACAGACGGGUCCUAAAGACGAGCCCACAGUCAAUGAGGACAGUGAAGAAGAUGACUAUGGGCUGAUGCCCAGUGUGGAGGAAAUCCCUGAAGAUGUGGCCUCCUUGUCCAUGAAAAGAGAGAACAGUCUUCAUCGAACAUUUAGUCGCAGUUCUAGGUCCAGUAGCAGGCGUCUGAAGCCCUUAAAAGACUUGAAAACUCGGAAUGUGAAUAUCCUGAAGGAGGAGGAAGAACCAGUGAAAGGGCAAAAACUAAUUAAGAAGGAAUUCAUACAAACUGGAAAGGUGAAGUUCUCCAUCUACCUGAAAUACCUACAAGCAAUAGGAUGGUGUUCGAUAUUCUUCAUUAUCUUUGGGUUUGUGCUCCAUUCCGUGUCUUUUAUUGGAUCAAACCUCUGGCUCAGUGCUUGGACCCGUGACUCUAAAACCUUCAAUAGCACCAACUAUCCAGCCUCUCAGAGGGACCUGAGAGUUGGUGUCUAUGGAGCUCUGGGAUUAGCACAAGGUAUAUCUGUGCUCAUAGCAAAUCUCUGGAGUGUCUAUGGUUCCGUCCACGCAGCAAGCAUUCUUCACAAGCAGCUGCUGAACAAUAUCCUUCGAGUACCCAUGAGUUUUUUUGACACAACACCCACUGGCCGGAUAGUGAACAGGUUUGCUGGCGAUAUCUCCACGGUGGAUGACACCCUCCCCAUGUCUUUGCGCAGCUGGAUUUUGUGCUUCCUGGGCAUCAUCAGCACCCUGGUCAUGAUCUGCCUGGCCACUCCAGUCUUCAUCAUCGUCAUCAUCCCUCUUGGCAUCAUUUAUGUGUCUGUUCAGAUAUUUUAUGUGGCUACUUCCCGCCAGCUGAGACGACUGGACUCUGUCACCAGGUCCCCAAUCUACUCUCACUUUAGUGAGACUGUGUCAGGUUUGUCUGUUAUCCGUGCUUUUGAGCACCAGGAGCGAUUUCUAAAGCACAAUGAGAUGGUGACGGACACCAACCAGAAAUGUGUCUUUUCCUGGAUUACCUCCAACAGGUGGCUUGCAAUUCGUCUGGAGCUGAUUGGGAACCUGAUCGUCUUCUUUUCAUCCUUGAUGAUGGUUAUUUAUAGAGAUACCCUAAGUGGGGACACUGUGGGCUUUGUUCUGUCCAAUGCACUCAGUUUUUUCUGUAGAUCACACAAACCCUGAACUGGCUAGUGAGGAUGACGUCAGAAAUAGAGACCAACAUUGUGGCUGUUGAGCGAAUAAAUGAGUACAUAAACGUGGAAAAUGAGGCACCAUGGGUGACUGAUAAGAGGCCUCCAGAAGGUUGGCCCAGCAAAGGGGAGAUCCAGUUUAGCAACUACCAAGUACGGUAUCGGCCUGAGCUGGAUCUGGUACUGAAGGGGAUCACUUGUGACAUUAAGA
Orcinus orca (killer whale) is the source of this 4771-nucleotide RNA transcript. It is a transcript of the gene named ATP binding cassette subfamily C member 2, with no coding region annotated. The transcript has 28 exons. The record is from RefSeq and is a predicted model, not a curated record. NCBI's taxonomy places the organism in Eukaryota, Metazoa, Chordata, Mammalia, Artiodactyla, Delphinidae.